Molecule: small nuclear RNA, 100 nt
Filed under: Castor canadensis (American beaver)
Lineage: Eukaryota; Metazoa; Chordata; Mammalia; Rodentia; Castoridae
Source: RNAcentral
GUGCUCGCUUGGGCAGCACAUGUACUAAAACUGGAACAAUACAGAGAAGAUUAGCAUGGCCCCUGAUUACACUUGAAAGAAAGAAAGAAAGGGAAAAUUG